GGGGAUUUAGCUCAGCGGCAUAAGCACCUGCCUUGCAAGCAGGUGGUCGUGGGUUCAAUCCCUG
This 64-nucleotide transfer RNA is filed under the name Cavia porcellus (domestic guinea pig). It matches the Rfam family "tRNA", at positions 1 to 62 of the family's 71-position model. From Rfam's summary of the family: Transfer RNA (tRNA) molecules are approximately 80 nucleotides in length. Their secondary structure includes four short double-helical elements and three loops (D, anti-codon, and T loops). Further hydrogen bonds mediate the characteristic L-shaped molecular structure. tRNAs have two regions of fundamental functional importance: the anti-codon, which is responsible for specific mRNA codon recognition, and the 3' end, to which the tRNAs corresponding amino acid is attached (by aminoacyl-tRNA synthetases). tRNAs cope with the degeneracy of the genetic code in two manners: having more than one tRNA (with a specific anti-codon) for a particular amino acid; and 'wobble' base-pairing, i.e. permitting non-standard base-pairing at the 3rd anti-codon position. The record is from Rfam by way of RNAcentral. Lineage: Eukaryota; Metazoa; Chordata; Mammalia; Rodentia; Caviidae.